CGUCUCUGACCCCAUCUAAUCAACAAUUUAUUUUCCUUGCAUAUCAAAACUAGCAAGAGGAGAAAAUUCAGGCUGAACCUCAAGUACACAUGGGUUUGAAAAAAAACAGGGCAUACCCACCCUCCUUCUCAUACAGCCGCUAGAAGCCUAGAACCAGCCCUCCCCUACUCAACUACCCGUCAAUACUCCAACUAAGAGGAAGAAGAAAACUGACAGCAAUUCCCUGCACUUCAUAAACGUGAUUCACAGGCUCUCUAAGCAUAUCCUUCAACAGAAGAAGACUAUAACAGAAGAAGAUGACCACGCCAGAAAAACGGUGCGGCAACGGUUGGAGGAACGUGACGGCGUCGACGGCGGAGGUGGAAGACUAGGGUUUGAUGCUGCUGAGAGGUGGAAACCGUGUUUCUAUUUCUGAGGUGGAUGGAAACCGUGUUUCUUUUUUUUUUUUUUUUCAAAAAACCGUGUUUCUAAUUUUGUUUUUUGCAACCUCUCAUUUGGCAUGGGCUGAGCCCAUUUUGACAAAAAAAGAGAAAAAAACCUUAAACCGGCAGAAACUGAGAACCGGCCGGUUUUCACCGGUUCCCGUUCCGGCGGUCGAACCGGCCGGUCCGGUCCGGUUUUUAUAACCAUGCUGCUAAUGUCAAGUGGUUAAUGCUAAAAAUUCCUGGGAUGGAUAAAGUGUGUGGAUGUUGAGAGGCAUUGAGAAAAUCAAUAUUCAUAGUGAUAGUGGGGUCAGUAGUUAGCCGCCUCGGUCAAGUCAAAUGAGACUGCUUCUUUUUCUUCUUCAGAUCAAGCUAGAGCAUAGAGAAUCAAAAAUAAUAUAGCAAGUUUUGAAUCAGAUUUCUAGCACCCAGAUCAGACAGAUUGUAGAGACAAAGAAAGAGCAGCACUUGUUUCAAUUCAAUGACAUCUUCUUCUGGAGCUUCUCAAAUAAUAUGUGCUGUACUGGUUGCAUGUAUUACUGGUUGCAUACUGAUGUACUUUAGAGUUAAGAAGAAAGAAAUCAUCAAGACAGAAAUUGUCACAAAGGAUGAAGUGUCAAAGUCAAGGUCAAACAACAUUCCUCCAAUAAAGUAUGAUUUAUUUGUAAGCUUUCAUGGAAAGGACAUUCGUGACACUUUUCUUAGUCAUUUGAUUGAAGCUUUUGCUCGAAGAAAAAUAAACGCCUUCGUAGAUGAUAAACUUGAGACGGGAGAAGAUAUAUGGCUAUCACUUGUUGAAGCAAUUAAAGGAUCGUCCAUUUCAUUGAUCAUAUUCUCCGAAAAUUAUGCCUUUUCACAUUGGUGUUUGGAAGAACUCGUGAAAAUACUUGAGUGCAAAGAGAAAUAUGGACGGAUUGUUGUUCCUAUUUUCUAUAAUGUAGAACCUUCGAAUGUAAGACAUCAAAGGGGGAGUUAUGAAAAUGCAUUUACUGAACUUGAAAAGAGGUAUGAUUUUCCAAGGGUGCAAAUCUGGAGACAAGCAUUGACCUCAUUAGCUAAUUUAUCAGGAAUCACUUCAUUAAAAUAUCGGAAUGAUGCUGAUUUGCUUGAAGAAAUCAUCAAUCGUGUGUUGAUGAGUAUGCCUAAGUAUCCGGUUAACAGAAAAAGACUUAUUGGAAUGGAAAAACCAAUUGCAGAUUUGGAAUCAUUGCUAUGGAAGGAGUCAACAAAGGCACACAUCAUCGGAAUUUGGGGUAUGGGCGGUAUUGGCAAGACAACUAUUGUAGAAGAGAUAUUUGGCAAAAAAUGUUUCGAGUAUGGAGGAUCUUGUUUUCUGUCAAAGGUAAAAGAUAAACUACAAAAAGAAGGAAUACAAUCUUUGAAAGAAAAACUCUUUUCAAAACUAUUAGCAGAAGAUGUGAAAAUUUACACCCCAAAUUUAUUGCCCAGUGAUAUUGAAAAAAGGAUUGGUCGGAUGAAGGUUCUUAUUGUUCUUGAUGAUGUGAAUGAUACAGAUCAGGUAGAAAAUAUAUUUGGAACGGUUGAUUGGCUUCACUCAGGUAGUAGAAUAAUAAUAACAACUAGAGAUAAGCAAGUACUUAUUUCUAACAAAGUCGAUGACAUAUACCAAAUUGGGGAAUUGAGUUAUAGUGAAGCACUUGAACUUUUCAAUUUGAGUGCAUUUAACCAAAUUCAUCUUGAACAAGAGUAUGAUGAUCUAUCACAAAGGGUGGUCAAUUAUGCCAAAGGAAUUCCAUUGGUUCUUAAAGUUUUGGGUCGUCUUCUUUGUGAAAAGGGCAAGGAAGUAUGGGAAAGUCAGCUAGACAAACUUAAAAAGAUAUCAAUUGAAAAAGUUCAUGAAGCAAUGAGAGUAAGCUAUGAUGAUCUUGAUCGCAGAGAGAAAAAUAUUCUUUUAGAUAUUGCGUGCUUCUUCAACGAUUCGAACAUGACCAUGAGCUCAUUAAUAAGUUUAUUGAAAUAUCAUGAAAAUGAUAAUUCGGUUGCUGUUGGUUUAGAAAGGCUUAAAGAUAGAGCUCUAGUGACUAUUUCUAAGGAUAAUUUUGUGUCCAUGCAUGAAAUUAUACAAGAAAUGGGUCGGGAGAUUGUUCGACAAGAAUCUGAGGACCCUGGACUACGCAGUCGACUAUGGGAUUCCGACGACAUUCGUGAUGUCUUGAAAAAUAACAAGGGGACUGAGGCUAUUAGAAGCAUAAUUAUGUACAAUUCAUCAAUUCAGAAUUUGAAGUUAAGCCGUUACGUAUUUGCUAAGAUGAGCAAACUACAAUUUUUGAAAAUUCAAGGGGGAGGUCGUGCAAAGCGGUUGGAUCUUUUUCUUCCAAGGUUUAAAGCUUGGCCACCUAAUCUAAAAUAUUUGUUCUGGUUCGAUUGCCCUCUAGGAUCAUUACCAACGUGUUUUUCUGCUGAAAGUCUUGUUAGAUUGGAGUUGCGAAGAGGCCGUAUGCAAAGAAUUUGGCACGGAGUAAUGAAUUUGGUUAAUUUAAAGAAAGUCUCCCUCGCUGAAUUCUCUUUCCUUGAGGAGCUGCCGGACUUUUCAAAGGCCCUAAAUCUUGAGUAUCUACAUGUUGUGGAUUGUGUGAAAUUGAAGAGUGUCCAUCCAUCUAUUUACUCUCUUAACAAGCUUCAGAAUUUCAUACUAAAAGGGUGUGUGUCCCUUGCAGAAUUUACAAGUGACACCCGUUUAAGCUCCUUAUGGCUUCUUGACCUUACAAGUUGUACGGGUCUAAGGAAGUUGUCAGUGUCAUUAGAGAAUAUAACAGACCUACAUUUGAGGAGAAUUCCUUCCAAUGUGUUUCCUUCAUCGUUUGUAUGUCAAAGCAAGCUAGAACUACUCGAUUUAAGAGAAACUCAAUAUGAGAGCUUACCUUCAAGCAUCAAAAAUCUUACCAGAUUGCAAGAACUUUACAUAAGUGAUUGUGCUUUACUUCAGUCAAUACCGGUGCUUCCCCCGUCCAUUCAAAUUCUUAUUGCUAGAGGGUGCAGAUCUCUAAAGACAGUAUUCUUCCCUUUAACGGCUGCCGAACAAUUCAAGGAAAACAGGCAAAAGGUUUCAUUCCGGAAUUGCAUGAACUUGGAUGGACGUUCACUCAGGGAUAUUGAGUUGAAUGCACAAAUAAACUUGAUGAAACUUACAUAUCUACAUUCAUCCACACUAGAACAUAAAGAUGAGUCUCCCUUUCAAGCAUGGUACGAGUAUCCAGGGUGGAGCGGUGUUCCAAAGUGGUUGCAGUUCAAGACAAGAAAUGAUGAAAUGAUUAUUGAUCUAUCUCCUGCUCGACUAUCCCCUUUGUUGGGUUUCAUUUUUUGCUUCAUCCUCGUUGCAAAGGACUCAUCAGAAUAUAGUGGGCCAAUUAAGUUUGAAAUCACGAUAAUUAAUGGUGAGGGUAAAAAGGGCUAUGUGAUGGAUUCAGAUAUUGCAACUGGUAAUCAGUGUUUGAUAUACGACAAAAAAUGUUCCCAAUACUUAACUGGCGCAGCAAAAAAUCAGACAAGGUUUAAAAUCAAGGUUGCAACACAUGCAGUAAAAUCCAAAAUGGCUCCAAUGAAGAACUUGAAGUUAAUAGAGUUUGGAGUCAGCCCUGUAAGCACCAUGAUUUAUCAAAGGUUUGUGGAGUCUUUGGGGUUAGCGGAAAACGAGUUGCAUUGAAGGCAAAUUGCAAGGGAUGGCGAUGUUAUCUCUGUGAGAUGUUAUCAGGAGUUCUUAAUUUUCUCUUGAAGUCCUCUGUUCAGGUUGCUAAGUUGUUGGCGUGGGAAGCGUCUGUUGUCGGAAGCUAGGUAACCCUGGUGGCAUAGAUGCUUAGGAGGGAUCACACUUAGAACUCUGUGGAUUACUUACUUUUGAUGUAGAAAGCAAAGCAAUAUGAUUCUUUCUUCUAUAAGCAGUCAGAAAAGCUUAUGACGAAAAAUAUGAUGGUAGAUAAGCACUAAAUAUGUGAUGUUGGCAGUGAAAAUGGGCCAUGGUAUAAAGUUGGAGCAGGUACCGGUUUGAUGAAUUCAAAGUUUAAACUCCGGGUGAAAAUUAUUAUUUUCAUGGCGAUCAAAGGACAAUUGCAUACAACUCUAACAAUUGGAGGCUGUUAAAACCCUCUUCUGGUUGUUGAAUUCUCUCUGGUACAAGUGCAGAGAUGGAAAUUGGGCAACAAAAGAACAAGGAUGGGGAAAUAAUUUAUAUUUCUAUUUGAUGUCCUGCUUGCCGCCACAUAAAGCCAAGUUGGUAUCUUUUGAAAAUGUGACUUUGUAUAUUGUAUUAGAAAUAGCUGCUGACUGACUUAAUUAGGUCCUUUGCCUCAUCUCUCACAGAUUGUGUUAAAUGGGUAGUAUGUACUUUCCUCCUUUGAGAUGAGUCUUGGGUUGACAGGAGGUUUGUGUUAUUGUGAUGAAAAUGUGAAAUUCAUGGACGACUUUGAAAUGUUAAUUCUGUAUUAACUAGAGUGGAAGAAACAGAAAAGUCUGUUGCGGUUUCA
This is an RNA transcript of Lotus japonicus, 4903 nucleotides long. It is a transcript of the gene named disease resistance-like protein DSC1, with no coding region annotated. The transcript is spliced from 8 exons. The record is from RefSeq and is a predicted model, not a curated record. NCBI's taxonomy places the organism in Eukaryota, Viridiplantae, Streptophyta, Magnoliopsida, Fabales, Fabaceae.